RNAcentral lists this long non-coding RNA (239 nucleotides) under Brassica napus (rape). RNAcentral's name for it is "long non-coding RNA (BNAP_LNC001782)". The record is from RNAcentral. Lineage: Eukaryota; Viridiplantae; Streptophyta; Magnoliopsida; Brassicales; Brassicaceae.
UACUUAAUUAAUCAUGAUUACUCCUUAAUUAAUCUCAGAUUAAUUCUCAAUUAAACCAAGGUUAAUUCUUAAUUAAACCAAGAUUAAUCCAUAAUCAAAACCAUGAUUAUUUUAUGAUUAGUACUUGAGAACAAGUACUAAGAUUAGGAUUAACCUCACUUUAAAAUUAUUCUUUAAGUGUAAGUGUUUAGCAUGAGUAAACACAACACCAUUCUUAAAUAUUCAGACACUUUACUAAC